Molecule: ribosomal RNA, 464 nt
Filed under: uncultured bacterium
Lineage: Bacteria
Description: partial 16S ribosomal RNA
Rfam family: Bacterial small subunit ribosomal RNA
Source: RNAcentral
ACGAACGCUGGCGGCGUGCUUAACCCCUGCCAGUCGAACGGAAAGGCCCCUUUGGGGGUCCUCGAGUGGCGAACGGGUGAGUAACACGUGAGUAACCUGCCCUUGACUUCGGGAUAACUUCAGGAAACUGGGGCUAAUACCGGAUAGGAAUCCUUGCUGCAUGGUGGGGGUUGGAAAGCUUCGGCGGUUUUGGAUGGACUCGCGGCUUAUCAGCUUGUUGGUGGGGUAGUGGCUUACCAAGGCUUUGACGGGUAGCCGGCCUGAGAGGGCGACCGGCCACAUUGGGACUGAGAUACGGCCCAGACUCCUACGGGAGGCAGCAGUGGGGAAUAUUGCACAAUGGGCGGAAGCCUGAUGCAGCAACGCCGCGUGCGGGAUGACGGCCUUCGGGUUGUAAACCGCUUUCAGCAGGGGCGAAGCUUGUGGUGACGGUACCUGCAGAAGAAGCACCGGCUAACUACGUG